GACGAACGCUGGCGGCGUGCCUAAUACAUGCAAGUUGAGCGCUGAAGGUUGGUACUUGUACCGACUGGAUGAGCAGCGAACGGGUGAGUAACGCGUGGGGAAUCUGCCUUUGAGCGGGGGACAACAUUUGGAAACGAAUGCUAAUACCGCAUAAAAACUUUAAACACAAGUUUUAAGUUUGAAAGAUGCAAUUGCAUCACUCAAAGAUGAUCCCGCGUUGUAUUAGCUAGUUGGUGAGGUAAAGGCUCACCAAGGCGAUGAUACAUAGCCGACCUGAGAGGGUGAUCGGCCACAUUGGGACUGAGAAACGGCCCAAACUCCUACGGGAGGCAGCAGUAGGGAAUCUUCGGCAAUGGACGAAAGUCUGACCGAGCAACGCCGCGUGAGUGAAGAAGGGUUUCGGAUCGUAAAACUCUGUUGGUAGAGAAGAACGUUGGUGAGAGUGGAAAGCUCAUCAAGUGACGGUAACUACCCAGAAAGGGACGGCUAACUACGUG
RNAcentral lists this ribosomal RNA (497 nucleotides) under uncultured bacterium. RNAcentral describes it as "partial 16S ribosomal RNA". It matches the Rfam family "Bacterial small subunit ribosomal RNA", at positions 28 to 507 of the family's 1533-position model. The record is from RNAcentral.